CGCAGACUCCACAGUGUCUUAAUGUAACCAUGAUUGCAUUCCGACCCGAGUGCAGCGCAGUGUAAACGAGCGUAAAGGUAGGCCGGUGUCUUCUGGCAAGGUGAAUACUGAAUAUACACCCAUUGGAGACAGCAGCACUGUCCCUGCAUGGCUUUCCAUCUGUCCCCUGGAAAGGAAUGCUACAGAUGAGUGAAUGUACCACCAUUUUCUAGGAAACCGGUGGAGGUGCGGCGUCAUACCUGCAACCAAUCAGAGCACACCAUUUUUUUUUAUUCAAACAGGUCUCCUCCAGCCUGUUCCUUAGUUACUCUAAUAAGGUCUCCUCCAGCCUGUUCCUUAGUUACACUAAUAAGGGCUCCUCCAGCCUGUUCCUUAGUUACACUAAUAAGGGCUCCUCCAGCCUGUUCCUUAGUUACACUAAUAAGGGCUCCUCCAGCCUGUUCCUUAGUUACUCUAAUAAGGGCUCCUCCAGCCUGUUCCUUAGUUACUCUAAUAAGGGCUCCUCCAG
RNAcentral lists this long non-coding RNA (508 nucleotides) under Salmo salar (Atlantic salmon). RNAcentral's name for it is "lncRNA (ENSSSAG00000101258.1)". Lineage: Eukaryota; Metazoa; Chordata; Actinopteri; Salmoniformes; Salmonidae. The record is from RNAcentral.